GACGAACGCUGGCGGCGUGCUUAACACAUGCAAGUCACGGGGGCCCGCAAGGGCAACCGGCGAACGGGUGCGUAACACGUGAGCAACUUUCCGAUUUGUGGGGGAUAGCCGGCCCAACGGCCGGGUAAUACCGCAUACGCUCACUGGGGGGAGUCCCCUGGUGAGGAAACCUCCGGGGCAAAUCGAGGGGCUCGCGUCCUAUCAGCUAGUUGGCGGGGUAACGGCCCACCAAGGCGACGACGGGUAGCUGGUCUGAGAGGAUGGCCAGCCACAUUGGGACUGAGAAACGGCCCAGACUCCUACGGGAGGCAGCAGUGGGGAAUCUUGCGCAAUGGCCGAAAGGCUGACGCAGCGACGCCGUGUGAGGGAGGAAGCUCUUCGGGGGUGUAAAUCUCUGUUGCCGGGAACGAAACUCUGGAUUCGUCCAGAUUGACGGUACUCGGUGAGGAAGCGCCGGCUAACUCUGUGCCAGCAGCCGCGGUAAUACAGAGGGCGCGAGCGUGUCCGGAA
This 510-nucleotide ribosomal RNA is filed under the name uncultured bacterium. RNAcentral's name for it is "bacterial SSU rRNA". It matches the Rfam family "Bacterial small subunit ribosomal RNA", at positions 28 to 550 of the family's 1533-position model. The record is from RNAcentral.